Molecule: long non-coding RNA, 440 nt
Filed under: Androctonus crassicauda
Lineage: Eukaryota; Metazoa; Arthropoda; Arachnida; Scorpiones; Buthidae
Source: RNAcentral
CAAGAGAGUCUUUUACAACAUGAGCUCGACAAUAGGGAGAGGAAAGUACCUGAUGAUAAGAGUCGAAAUUUCUGUGGCAGAGUCCUGCCAGUGGAGUAUUGCUUACAUCGUUCCGACUAUGAAAGUCGGCCAAUGCCGUUCUGCAGGACUCCGGGCAAGCAUACCCCUGGGGAAACACCACAGAUACCCCCAUGCUCCCGUGGGAGUCGCGUCGGAUUGCCUCCCCCGUGUUCAUCGCCUCCUGCACGUCGUGUGGAUUGCUGACUUUGCUUGAUGGAGCAAUUUUACUUCUCCCCUCCGGCGAUUCCCAAUCGCUCUGAACUGCCGUGACGGCAGCAUCCUCCCACCACGUGUCCCGGUAGUUCUCCUCAUCUGCCCAACCGUCGCACAGUGGUCUAAAUGGCGAAUUUGGCGCGAAUUAAUUAUUCAUGUUGGAAAAA